RNAcentral lists this ribosomal RNA (253 nucleotides) under uncultured bacterium. Its description in RNAcentral is "partial 16S ribosomal RNA". It matches the Rfam family "Bacterial small subunit ribosomal RNA", at positions 524 to 776 of the family's 1533-position model. The record is from RNAcentral.
UACGUAGGGUGCGAGCGUUGUCCGGAAUUACUGGGCGUAAAGAGCUCGUAGGUGGUUUGUCGCGUUGUUCGUGAAAACUCACAACUCAAUUGUGGGCGUGCGGGCGAUACGGGCAGACUGGAGUACUGCAGGGGAGACUGGAAUUCCUGGUGUAGCGGUGGAAUGCGCAGAUAUCGGGAGGAACACCAGUGGCGAAGGCGACUUCCUGGCCUGUUCUUGACGCUGAGGCGCGAAAGCGUGGGGAGCGAACAGG